RNAcentral lists this ribosomal RNA (254 nucleotides) under uncultured bacterium. Its description in RNAcentral is "partial 16S ribosomal RNA". It matches the Rfam family "Bacterial small subunit ribosomal RNA", at positions 524 to 776 of the family's 1533-position model. The record is from RNAcentral.
UACGUAGGGACCAAGCGUUGUUCGGAUUUACUGGGCGUAAAGGGCGCGUAGGCGGCGUGGUAAGUCAGCUGUGAAAUCUCCGAGCUUAACUCGGAACGGUCAGUUGAUACUGCUGUGCUAGAGUACAGAAAGGGCAAUCGGAAUUCUUGGUGUAGCGGUGAAAUGCGUAGAUAUCAAGAGGAACACCUGAGGCGAAGGCGGGUUGCUAGGCUGAUACUGACGCUGAGUGCGCGAAAGCUAGGGUAGCAAACGGG